This 1198-nucleotide long non-coding RNA is filed under the name Homo sapiens (human). Its description in RNAcentral is "long non-coding RNA NONHSAT172000.1". The record is from RNAcentral. Lineage: Eukaryota; Metazoa; Chordata; Mammalia; Primates; Hominidae.
CCUAGUUUGAAAGUCUGAUUAUUUUCUGUCCUAAAGGAACAUGUUAGAGGGGGUCUCCAGAGUUGCUGAAACCCUUACUCCAUAUAUUGCAAGAAAACUCCUCGAGUGUAGUUUCUGUGUCUGAUGAGUAUCUCUCUGCAGCACACAGCCAAGGGCCUGGACCAUAGAAAAUAUCCAGAACUGAGGACUUCUCCUGCCAAGCCCAGGGAGUCUGAAAUCACACAUAUAUUGUGAGAGAGAAAAUGAGGCUUUGUGUCUCUUAUGCCUCUGAUUUUUAGAAACGGGUCUGGGCAGUGUCAAAGAGUAAAACAGCCUUUGCGCAUCUUAACCACAGGUGUUUGCCUUGGCCUCAAUUAACACUGCACUGAAUCACCCAACUGAGAGUUUGCAGUCACUGGGCUAGACUCCCAGAGACCGACUCAGGCUGUCCUCAGGCCGCGUGAAAGCCUAGAGAUAUCUUGGUCAGCAGCUUCGCUGGGACUCCAAACUCGAGAAGGGGAAUCAAGCAAGGCACUUUGGCAUCACCAGUGUGAAGAAUCUCCAGCAGGGGAGGCAACAGAGCCCUCUCCAGGUGUCUUUGGGAAGGAUUCUGGAUAUUAAAGAUGAGAAAGGCCUUGGAGAUGAUCAAAUCCAAUCCCUUUAUUUUCUAAAGAAACUGAGGCUCGGAAUAAUUGACCUGACAGAUAGAAACUGAUGGAAAAUUUUAGUUCUGUUACUUACUUGCUGUGAGACCAUUUUGAAAAUAGACAUCAUAUCCUGUUUUAAUUACCCUAGACUUCAGAAAUAAGCAUUCCAAGAUAAACCUAUCUGUAUCUGGGGGAAUAAGAGUAGGCUCAGUUGACAGAAGACAAUAGGAAAAGUAACACAUAAAGAUGUCACCAGAAGACAAAGCUCUGGAUUUAAGAUUUGGAAGUUGGAAAAACUCUUGGAAGCUUAGCAAAAUUGUAUAUAACCAGGCCCAUAUGAAAUGGAGUGCUGUUGCAAGUUACUGUGCUGAGGAAGUUGAGGCUCUAAGACCAAAAUGUUGGCAAAUGGCUUGGAUUUGGAAUAAUGAAGAAGAGAGGCCAAGAGCCAAUCCUAAAGUAAUGACAGGAAGUUGGUGGGUGUCCCAGAGAGAGGUCACUUCUGGUAAGGAGCAUAGGGAGAGAAUGGAGGCAGAGGAGUCCUGUAAACUAAAAUCCAGUGAUUUGGGAAUAAA